CCAAUAGCGUAUAUUAAAGUUGUUGCAGUUAAAAAGCUCGUAGUUGAAUUUCGGGAUCAAUUUAUCGGUCGUGCCAAUGGUAUGAACUGGUACAAUUGGUUUCUCCCUUCUGACGAAGCAUGAUGUCAUUAAUUUGGUGUCGUGGGGAAUCAGGACUGUUACUUUGAAAAAAUUAGAGUGUUUAAAGCAAGCAUUAGCUUGAAUACAUUAGCAUGGAAUAAUGAAAUAGGACGUUUGAUCCUAUUUCGUUGGUUUCUAGGAUCGACGUAAUGAUUAAUAGGGAUAGUUGGGGGCAUUAGUGUUCAAUUGUCAGAGGUGAAAUUCUUGGAUUUAUUGAAGACUAACUACUGCGAAAGCAUUUGCCAAGGAUGUUUUCAUUAAUCAAGAACGAAAGUUAGGGGAUCGAAGACGAUCAGAUACCGUCGUAGUCUUAACCAUAAACUAUGCCGACUAGUAGGGAUCGGAUGAUGUUAAUUUUUUAAUGACUCAUUUGGCGCCUUACG
Molecule: ribosomal RNA, 503 nt
Filed under: uncultured Glomeromycotina
Lineage: Eukaryota; Fungi; Glomeromycota
Description: partial small subunit ribosomal RNA
Rfam family: Eukaryotic small subunit ribosomal RNA
Source: RNAcentral